UACAGGGGGUGCAAACGUUGCCCGGAAUCAUUGGGCGUAAAGCGCACGUAGGCGGUCUGUUAUGUCGGAUGUGAAAGCCCUUGGCUCAACUGAGGAAGUGCAUCCGAAACUGGCAGGCUAGAGUACUAAAGAGGGUCGCGGAAUUCCCGGUGUAGAGGUGAAAUUCGUAGAUAUCGGGAGGAACACCGGUGGCGAAGGCGGCGACCUGGGUAGAUACUGACGCUGAGGUGCGAAAGCGUGGGGAGCAAACAGG
This 253-nucleotide ribosomal RNA is filed under the name uncultured bacterium. RNAcentral's name for it is "partial 16S ribosomal RNA". It matches the Rfam family "Bacterial small subunit ribosomal RNA", at positions 524 to 776 of the family's 1533-position model. The record is from RNAcentral.